ACGGAGGGUGCGAGCGUUGUCCGGAAUCACUGGGCGUAAAGGGCGCGUAGGUGGCCCGCGCAAGCGUGCGGUGAAAGCCCGGGGCUCAACCCCGGGUCGGCCGUGCGGACUGCGGGGCUGGAGCACUGUAGGGGCGGGUGGAAUUCCGGGUGUAGCGGUGGAAUGCGUAGAGAUCCGGAAGAACACCGGUGGCGAAGGCGGCCCGCUGGGCAGUUGCUGACACUGAGGCGCGACAGCGUGGGGAGCAAACAGGA
RNAcentral lists this ribosomal RNA (254 nucleotides) under uncultured prokaryote. RNAcentral's name for it is "partial 16S ribosomal RNA". It matches the Rfam family "Bacterial small subunit ribosomal RNA", at positions 525 to 777 of the family's 1533-position model. The record is from RNAcentral.